RNAcentral lists this ribosomal RNA (2901 nucleotides) under Klebsiella pneumoniae. RNAcentral describes it as "23S ribosomal RNA". It matches the Rfam family "Bacterial large subunit ribosomal RNA". Lineage: Bacteria; Pseudomonadati; Pseudomonadota; Gammaproteobacteria; Enterobacterales; Enterobacteriaceae. The record is from RNAcentral.
GGUUAAGCGACUAAGCGUACACGGUGGAUGCCCUGGCAGUCAGAGGCGAUGAAGGACGUGCUAAUCUGCGAAAAGCGUCGGUAAGGUGAUAUGAACCGUUAUAACCGGCGAUGUCCGAAUGGGGAAACCCAGUGCAAUUCGUUGCACUAUCGUUAACUGAAUACAUAGGUUAACGAGGCGAACCGGGGGAACUGAAACAUCUAAGUACCCCGAGGAAAAGAAAUCAACCGAGAUUCCCCCAGUAGCGGCGAGCGAACGGGGAGCAGCCCAGAGUCUGAAUCAGCUUGUGUGUUAGUGGAACGGUCUGGAAAGUCCGACGGUACAGGGUGAUAGUCCCGUACACCAAAAUGCACAGGCUGUGAACUCGAAGAGUAGGGCGGGACACGUGGUAUCCUGUCUGAAUAUGGGGGGACCAUCCUCCAAGGCUAAAUACUCCUGACUGACCGAUAGUGAACCAGUACCGUGAGGGAAAGGCGAAAAGAACCCCGGCGAGGGGAGUGAAAAAGAACCUGAAACCGUGUACGUACAAGCAGUGGGAGCACCUUCGGGUGUGACUGCGUACCUUUUGUAUAAUGGGUCAGCGACUUAUAUUCUGUAGCAAGGUUAACCGUAUAGGGGAGCCGCAGGGAAACCGAGUCUUAACUGGGCGUUAAGUUGCAGGGUAUAGACCCGAAACCCGGUGAUCUAGCCAUGGGCAGGUUGAAGGUUGGGUAACACUAACUGGAGGACCGAACCGACUAAUGUUGAAAAAUUAGCGGAUGACUUGUGGCUGGGGGUGAAAGGCCAAUCAAACCGGGAGAUAGCUGGUUCUCCCCGAAAGCUAUUUAGGUAGCGCCUCGUGAACUCAUCUUCGGGGGUAGAGCACUGUUUCGGCUAGGGGGUCAUCCCGACUUACCAACCCGAUGCAAACUACGAAUACCGAAGAAUGUUAUCACGGGAGACACACGGCGGGUGCUAACGUCCGUCGUGAAGAGGGAAACAACCCAGACCGCCAGCUAAGGUCCCAAAGUCAUGGUUAAGUGGGAAACGAUGUGGGAAGGCACAGACAGCCAGGAUGUUGGCUUAGAAGCAGCCAUCAUUUAAAGAAAGCGUAAUAGCUCACUGGUCGAGUCGGCCUGCGCGGAAGAUGUAACGGGGCUAAACCAUGCACCGAAGCUGCGGCAGCGACACUAUGUGUUGUUGGGUAGGGGAGCGUUCUGUAAGCCUGCGAAGGUGACCUGUGAGGGUUGCUGGAGGUAUCAGAAGUGCGAAUGCUGACAUAAGUAACGAUAAAGCGGGUGAAAAGCCCGCUCGCCGGAAGACCAAGGGUUCCUGUCCAACGUUAAUCGGGGCAGGGUGAGUCGACCCCUAAGGCGAGGCCGAAAGGCGUAGUCGAUGGGAAACAGGUUAAUAUUCCUGUACUUGGUGUUACUGCGAAGGGGGACGGAGAAGGCUAUGUUAGCCGGGCGACGGUUGUCCCGGUUUAAGCAUGUAGGCUGGUUGUCCAGGCAAAUCCGGAUAAUCAAGGCUGAGGUGUGAUGACGAGGCACUACGGUGCUGAAGUAACAAAUGCCCUGCUUCCAGGAAAAGCCUCUAAGCAUCAGGUAACAUUAAAUCGUACCCCAAACCGACACAGGUGGUCAGGUAGAGAAUACCAAGGCGCUUGAGAGAACUCGGGUGAAGGAACUAGGCAAAAUGGUGCCGUAACUUCGGGAGAAGGCACGCUGGUGUGUAGGUGAAGCCCCUGCGGGUGGAGCUGAGACCAGUCGAAGAUACCAGCUGGCUGCAACUGUUUAUUAAAAACACAGCACUGUGCAAACACGAAAGUGGACGUAUACGGUGUGACGCCUGCCCGGUGCCGGAAGGUUAAUUGAUGGGGUUAUCCGUAAGGAGAAGCUCUUGAUCGAAGCCCCGGUAAACGGCGGCCGUAACUAUAACGGUCCUAAGGUAGCGAAAUUCCUUGUCGGGUAAGUUCCGACCUGCACGAAUGGCGUAAUGAUGGCCAGGCUGUCUCCACCCGAGACUCAGUGAAAUUGAACUCGCUGUGAAGAUGCAGUGUACCCGCGGCAAGACGGAAAGACCCCGUGAACCUUUACUAUAGCUUGACACUGAACAUUGAGCCUUGAUGUGUAGGAUAGGUGGGAGGCUUUGAAGCGUGGACGCCAGUCUGCGUGGAGCCAACCUUGAAAUACCACCCUUUAAUGUUUGAUGUUCUAACGUUGGCCCCUUAUCGGGGUUGCGGACAGUGUCUGGUGGGUAGUUUGACUGGGGCGGUCUCCUCCCAAAGCGUAACGGAGGAGCACGAAGGUUAGCUAAUCCUGGUCGGACAUCAGGAGGUUAGUGCAAUGGCAUAAGCUAGCUUGACUGCGAGCGUGACGGCGCGAGCAGGUGCGAAAGCAGGUCAUAGUGAUCCGGUGGUUCUGAAUGGAAGGGCCAUCGCUCAACGGAUAAAAGGUACUCCGGGGAUAACAGGCUGAUACCGCCCAAGAGUUCAUAUCGACGGCGGUGUUUGGCACCUCGAUGUCGGCUCAUCACAUCCUGGGGCUGAAGUAGGUCCCAAGGGUAUGGCUGUUCGCCAUUUAAAGUGGUACGCGAGCUGGGUUUAGAACGUCGUGAGACAGUUCGGUCCCUAUCUGCCGUGGGCGCUGGAGAAUUGAGGGGGGCUGCUCCUAGUACGAGAGGACCGGAGUGGACGCAUCACUGGUGUUCGGGUUGUCAUGCCAAUGGCACUGCCCGGUAGCUAAAUGCGGAAGAGAUAAGUGCUGAAAGCAUCUAAGCACGAAACUUGCCCCGAGAUGAGUUCUCCCUGAGACUUUAAGUCUCCUGAAGGAACGUUGAAGACGACGACGUUGAUAGGCCGGGUGUGUAAGCGCAGCGAUGCGUUGAGCUAACCGGUACUAAUGAACCGUGAGGCUUAACCUU